RNAcentral lists this long non-coding RNA (1046 nucleotides) under Anser brachyrhynchus (Pink-footed goose). RNAcentral's name for it is "lncRNA (ENSABRG00000010927.1)". The record is from RNAcentral. Lineage: Eukaryota; Metazoa; Chordata; Aves; Anseriformes; Anatidae.
UGAGAUGUAAGCUAGUACUGCAGGUUAUCAGUUAUCUGUCAGUGAAAUAAGAAGGUAGUGGGUUUUAUUGAUCUUCCUUUUUUUGGGGUGGUGGGGUAGGGAAAUAUGUGUAAACUUAUUUUUAAAUCCACAUUAGUUACCUGAUGGAUUUUUCCACUCGCUCUCAUGGACCCAAGGAUCCCAGUCCCAACUGCGUUGAGCUGGUGGAAGCAGUGUCCAGAGGGAUGCUCAUCCAGAGUUGGGCUCAUCCUCGAUGAUGAUGUCGAUGGUAGUUUAGUACAGCGUGCAUUGCCAUAGGAAGGGCGCCUGUUUGGAGAUAAAAGACCUCUGGAGCACUGAAUGCUUGCCACGUGCAAAGCAAAAACCUGGUCCUUGACCCAACCUACUCAGAGAGGUGAAUGCCUGAGCGAGGCCACAUAGCCAGAUGGAGGGAGAGCAAGCCCCACCGAAGAGGAUUCAGACAAUUCUCCUAUCUCUGGAACCACUCACGGAGCCUUGCUCCUCAUCUGCCUUCUGAUGAUAUUUGCUUUUAAAGAAAGGUCCAUUUAAUGUGUUCCUCCCCCAAAAGUAUCUGCAAUUAAUUCUUAUCAAGGGCAACAGCUGAUUUGUAAGAUUACUUCUAAAUUGGUAAUUAAUUAACCUAUUACCAAAAGAGGGAGGGGUGCCCUGUUUGUCAAGAGGUUAGAGCUGAUAAGUGAUGAAUAGUUGGGUUAUAUCAGGACCUUGGCUCCCCUCUGAUCAGUUUGGAUGUUACCUAACCAUGCAUUAUAUUUGAACAUGAAUCACAGCUCCUCAGUCUUUAUAUUUCCUAAUCCAAAGCCUGACACACAGAACUAUGGGUAGAUCUCAUUUAUUAUUGCUUAAUUAAAGGCUCAAUGCACAAAGAGACGCCUCUUGUUUCACUUUAGCUAUCCAGCGAGAUCAUAAUUGUACUGAUGUUGGGGCCAGCUUUCUAAGUAGCUAUUAGAAGUCACUGCGAGGAAGAUCCGAGCUAUUCUAUAGGGAAUUCUACACAAUAAAAGUUACAUUCGUAUUUUUUAAUUAAG